GACGAACGCUGGCGGCGUGCUUAACACAUGCAAGUCGAACGGUGAACUCCGCUUGCGGGGGGAUCAGUGGCGAACGGGUGAGUAACACGUGGGCAACCUGCCCUCAGCUCUGGGAUAACUCCAAGAAAUUGGGGCUAAUACCGGAUAUGACCGCUGACCGCAUGGUCUGGUGGUGGAAAGAUUUAUCGGCUGGGGAUGGGCCCGCGGCCUAUCAGCUUGUUGGUGGGGUAGUGGCCUACCAAGGCGACGACGGGUAGCCGGCCUGAGAGGGUGACCGGCCACACUGGGACUGAGCCACGGCCCAGACUCCUACGGGAGGCAGCAGUGGGGAAUAUUGCGCAAUGGGCGAAAGCCUGACGCAGCGACGCCGCGUGGGGGAUGACGGCCUUCGGGUUGUAAACCUCUUUCAGCAGGGACGAAGCGAAAGUGACGGUACCUGCAGAAGAAGCACCGGCCAACUACGUG
Molecule: ribosomal RNA, 465 nt
Filed under: uncultured bacterium
Lineage: Bacteria
Description: partial 16S ribosomal RNA
Rfam family: Bacterial small subunit ribosomal RNA
Source: RNAcentral